RNAcentral lists this ribosomal RNA (687 nucleotides) under uncultured euryarchaeote. RNAcentral's name for it is "bacterial SSU rRNA". It matches the Rfam family "Archaeal small subunit ribosomal RNA", at positions 73 to 758 of the family's 1478-position model. Lineage: Archaea; Methanobacteriati; Methanobacteriota. The record is from RNAcentral.
GACCCGUGGCAGACAGCUCAGUAACACGUGGCCAAACUACCCUAUGGACGCGGACACCCUCGGGAAACUGAGGCUAAUCCACGAUACGGCUCCCACGCUGGAAUGCGGGGAGCCGGAAAGGCUCCGGCGCCAUAGGAUGUGGCUGCGGCCGAUUAGGUAGACGGUGGGGUAACGGCCCACCGUGCCCAUAAUCGGUACGGGAUGUGAGAGCAAAUAGCCCGGAGAUGGAUUCUGAGACAAGAAUCCAGGCCCUACGGGGCGCAGCAGGCGCGAAACCUUUACACUGCACGCCAGUGCGAUAAGGGGACCCCGAGUGCGAGGGCAUACAGUCCUCGCUUUUGUACACCGUAAGGAGGUGUACGAAUAAGGGCUGGGCAAGACCGGUGCCAGCCGCCGCGGUAAUACCGGCAGCCCGAGUGAUGGCCGCUGUUAUUGGGCCUAAAGCGUCCGUAGCCGGCCGAACAAGUCUGUCGGGAAAUCCAUCUGCCUAACAGAUGGGCGUCCGGCAGAAACUGUUCGGCUUGGGGCCGGAAGAUCCGAGGGGUACGUCCGGGGUAGGAGUGAAAUCCCGUAAUCCUGGACGGACCGCCGGUGGCGAAAGCGCCUCGGAAGGACGGACCCGACGGUGAGGGACGAAAGCUGGGGUCUCGAACCGGAUUAGAUACCCGGGUAGUCCCAGCCGUAAAC